This 160-nucleotide ribosomal RNA is filed under the name uncultured bacterium. RNAcentral describes it as "partial 16S ribosomal RNA". It matches the Rfam family "Bacterial small subunit ribosomal RNA", at positions 355 to 509 of the family's 1533-position model. The record is from RNAcentral.
UGAGGAAUAUUGGUCAAUGGGCGGGAAGCCUGAACCAGCCAAGUCGCGUGAGGGAAGAAGGCCCUGCGGGUCGCAGACCUCUUUGGACGGGGGAGCAAGGCCGCCGACGUGUCGGCGGAAGGAGAGUACCCGUAGAACAAGCAUCGGCUAACUCCGUGCC